RNAcentral lists this ribosomal RNA (1486 nucleotides) under metagenome. RNAcentral's name for it is "bacterial SSU rRNA". It matches the Rfam family "Bacterial small subunit ribosomal RNA". The record is from RNAcentral.
AGAGUUUGAUCCUGGCUCAGGAUGAACGCUAGCUACAGGCUUAACACAUGCAAGUCGAGGGGCAGCAUGGUCUUAGCUUGCUAAGACUGAUGGCGACCGGCGCACGGGUGAGUAACACGUAUCCAACCUGCCGUCUACUCUUGGACAGCCUUCUGAAAGGAAGAUUAAUACAAGAUGGCAUCAUGAGUCCGCAUGUUCACAUGAUUAAAGGUAUUCCGGUAGACGAUGGGGAUGCGUUCCAUUAGAUAGUAGGCGGGGUAACGGCCCACCUAGUCUUCGAUGGAUAGGGGUUCUGAGAGGAAGGUCCCCCACAUUGGAACUGAGACACGGUCCAAACUCCUACGGGAGGCAGCAGUGAGGAAUAUUGGUCAAUGGGCGGGAGCCUGAACCAGCCAAGUAGCGUGAAGGAUGACUGCCCUAUGGGUUGUAAACUUCUUUUAUAAAGGAAUAAAGUCGGGUAUGCAUACCCGUUUGCAUGUAUUUUAUGAAUAAGGAUCGGCUAACUCCGUGCCAGCAGCCGCGGUAAUACGGAGGAUCCGAGCGUUAUCCGGAUUUAUUGGGUUUAAAGGGAGCGUAGAUGGAUGUUUAAGUCAGUUGUGAAAGUUUGCGGCUCAACCGUAAAAUUGCAGUUGAUACUGGAUAUCUUGAGUGCAGUUGAGGCAGGCGGAAUUCGUGGUGUAGCGGUGAAAUGCUUAGAUAUCACGAAGAACUCCGAUUGCGAAGGCAGCCUGCUAAGCUGCAACUGACAUUGAGGCUCGAAAGUGUGGGUAUCAAACAGGAUUAGAUACCCUGGUAGUCCACACGGUAAACGAUGAAUACUCGCUGUUUGCGAUAUACGGCAAGCGGCCAAGCGAAAGCGUUAAGUAUUCCACCUGGGGAGUACGCCGGCAACGGUGAAACUCAAAGGAAUUGACGGGGGCCCGCACAAGCGGAGGAACAUGUGGUUUAAUUCGAUGAUACGCGAGGAACCUUACCCGGGCUUAAAUUGCAGAUGAAUUACGGUGAAAGCCGUAAGCCGCAAGGCAUCUGUGAAGGUGCUGCAUGGUUGUCGUCAGCUCGUGCCGUGAGGUGUCGGCUUAAGUGCCAUAACGAGCGCAACCCUUGUUGUCAGUUACUAACAGGUUCUGCUGAGGACUCUGACAAGACUGCCAUCGUAAGAUGUGAGGAAGGUGGGGAUGACGUCAAAUCAGCACGGCCCUUACGUCCGGGGCUACACACGUGUUACAAUGGGGGGUACAGAGGGCCGCUACCACGCGAGUGGAUGCCAAUCCCCAAAACCUCUCUCAGUUCGGACUGGAGUCUGCAACCCGACUCCACGAAGCUGGAUUCGCUAGUAAUCGCGCAUCAGCCACGGCGCGGUGAAUACGUUCCCGGGCCUUGUACACACCGCCCGUCAAGCCAUGGGAGCCGGGGGUACCUGAAGUGCGUAACCGCGAGGAGCGCCCUAGGGUAAAACUGGUGACUGGGGCUAAGUCGUAACAAGGUA